CUCCCCCCAGCCACCCGCCCCUGCUCCUCCCCUCUCCGGAACCGCUGCCCCCUCAGCCCUGAUGCCCUCUGGGUUCUGUUUUCAUACCGCGCUGCGGAUCCGGUCGUGGGAAGCAGGUGCAGGGGCCUGCAGGGCUGAGGCCCGCUGAAGGCGAGCAGCCUGUCCCGUGUUCACGGCUACACAGAGACGUGUGGACCCCAAGCUCAGAGCCUGCGCUGCCUGUGCGCAGGGCCCAGGGGGCACUCGGCCCGCCCACACAGAUACACAAUAAGAAAAAGAGUGUGAGCAAGACUGUGACAGCGGGACACAUCUGUUUCCUUAAGAGCUUAGGUUUUCUCAGAGACCCAAGCUGGUAGAAUCUGGGCACCCACACACCCUGAGGACUAGCAUUUCCCACACUGAUGAAUGCCCACUCCAAAGAGCCACAACCUGAGGUGGCCCCUGUCCCAGCUGCUGCCCUGCCCAUCCUUGUCUCCCCAGGUUCGAGGCCUCAUAAGCAGGGACUCAAAAACACGCCUCUGUCAGUUGGUAAUUCUGGCUUCGUAUGGCUCUUCUUCAUUCUGACCUCUCCAGUUUAGCCAGAGAAGUAUGUCUAAAGUGCACAUGUGCAAAAUCAUUUUACUUGCCUGCAUGCAAUUCUUCAUCAUCCAUCCAUUACCUAGAGGACGAAGUCUGAGUUUGUGAGUGUGUAAAUCUCUCCACUAGCUCCUCCCAGCCUGUCUGCUACCAUUUCCCUGGUGUCCAGCCAGAACUGGUGACAGUCUCCCAAGCAAGCAGGUCCUGCUGCACUUCUGGUCAAGAUGGAGUAGUGUACGUGGUACAGCCACUGUAGAAAACAGUGUGGACAUUCCUUGAAACAUUAAAAAUAGAACUACUGUAUGAUUCAGUAAUUCCACUUCUGGGUAUUUUAAGGGAACAAAAUCGCUAUCUCGAAAAGAUAGCUGCACCCGCAUGUUCAUUGCAACAUUAUUCACAAUAGCCAAGAUGUGGAAGUAACCUAAGUGUCCAUCAAUGGACAAGUUGUGC
Molecule: long non-coding RNA, 1026 nt
Organism: Phyllostomus discolor (pale spear-nosed bat)
Lineage: Eukaryota; Metazoa; Chordata; Mammalia; Chiroptera; Phyllostomidae
Exons: 5
Source: RefSeq, a predicted model, not a curated record